GUACGGUGUGAGCGUUAAUCGGAAUUACUGGGCGUAAAGCGUGCGCCGGCGGUUCUGAAAGUCAGCUGUGAAAGCCCCGGGCUUAACCUGGGAAUGGCGGUUGAAACUACAGGACUAGAAUCUGGCAGAGGGGGGUGGAAUUCCACGUGUAGCAGUGAAAUGCGUAGAGAUGUGGAGGAACACCGAUGGCGAAGGCAGCCCCCUGGGCUGAGAUUGACGCUCAGGCACGAAAGCGUGGGGAGCAAACAGGAUUAGAUACCCUGGUGGUCCACGCCCUAAACGAUGUCAACUAGGUGUUGGGAGCGCAAGUUCUUGGUACCCCAGCUAACGCGUGAAGUUGACCGCCUGGGGAGUACGGUCGCCAGAUUAAA
RNAcentral lists this ribosomal RNA (371 nucleotides) under uncultured bacterium. RNAcentral's name for it is "bacterial SSU rRNA". It matches the Rfam family "Bacterial small subunit ribosomal RNA", at positions 527 to 898 of the family's 1533-position model. The record is from RNAcentral.